This 259-nucleotide ribosomal RNA is filed under the name uncultured bacterium. RNAcentral's name for it is "partial small subunit ribosomal RNA". It matches the Rfam family "Bacterial small subunit ribosomal RNA", at positions 26 to 285 of the family's 1533-position model. The record is from RNAcentral.
AGGACGAACGCUGGCGGCGUGCUUAACACAUGCAAGUCGAGCGGUAAGGCCUCCUUCGGGGGGUACACGAGCGGCGAACGGGUGAGUAACACGUGGGUGACCUGCCCUCAGCUCUGGGAUAAGCCUGGGAAACUGGGUCUAAUACUGGAUAUGACUGCGCAUCGCAUGGUGUGUGGUGGAAAGUUUUUUCGGCUGGGGAUGGGCCCGCGGCCUAUCAGCUUGUUGGUGGGGUGAUGGCCUACCAAGGCGACGACGGGUA